RNAcentral lists this ribosomal RNA (253 nucleotides) under uncultured bacterium. RNAcentral describes it as "partial 16S ribosomal RNA". It matches the Rfam family "Bacterial small subunit ribosomal RNA", at positions 524 to 777 of the family's 1533-position model. The record is from RNAcentral.
UACGGGGGGAGCAAGCGUUGUUCGGAUUUACUGGGCGUAAAGAGCGCGCAGGCGGUCGUACAAGUCGCGUGUGAAAGCCCCCGGCUCAACUGGGGAGGGUCACGCGAUACUGUUCGACUCGAAGGCAGGAGAGGGAAGUGGAAUUCCCGGUGUAGUGGUGAAAUGCGUAGAUAUCGGGAGGAACACCAGUGGCGAAGGCGGAUCUCUGGCCUUGCCUGACGCUGAGGCGCGAAAGCUAGGGGAGCGAACGAGG